AUUCUUUUAAUAUUAAAUAUGCAAAUAAAUUCCAGUAUUUAUUCAAGAGAGCAAAUGCUUGGUUUUUUACUGGCGCAAAUUUUGCCCCCUGUGGACGUCAUGGAGAGAGAUAUGAUUGAGAAUUAAUCCUUUUGCUAAAAUAAAUUUUAAGGAGCUAAAAUCGAUGGAUAUGAAAGGUAGUUUAUAGAAUAUAUGUCGAGAAAAAAGUUGCGCUAUUUGCGUUCUAUUUUUAUGCAUUGCUUACCUUUGCCGAGUAAAGCGUAACAUUAAGGAGCGUCGGAUGCUGCUCGAUUACCACAAAUUCGAUCUCGCGAGGUAUAUAUCCAUUCGAGAAUACCUGACGUACAAAAUAGAUGUAUAAGAUGAUGUAGCAAAAAUGAAUAGCGUUAUUUUUUUAAAUUUUAUCUUUAAUUUUAUCUAGUGAUAAGAAAGUGGUUGCAUGAAAGGAUUGCAACAUACCUCUAACUUGUAAACGCCAGGUAGCAGAAUUCUCCAAAAUUCGCCGUAUUUGGUCGUCGAAAAGCUGACAUCUCGUGAUUUCACUUUAACCGACGCUCUUUCAAUGGGAUUGCCGUUUUCAUCGACAACGAAACCGUGAACGCCUCUGUGAGCUUCUGCCAAGAACUUGAUUAAAGACUAAAAAGACCACAAAACACAUGCGCUGAUAAGUUUCGCAAAUCUUAAGAGAUCAUUAAUCAUUUUGUUACUAUUACAUAUCUCAAAAGAGGAACGAUGAAUAAAUCUUGCAAGAGAUACAUAUUUGAAAAAAUGUACUCUGGGAGACUCACCGCUCGAUUUUCCUCCCAGUAGUGAGGCAGAUCCGAGGCCGGCGGAUAUUUGCAGCAAGAAAGUUCCAAGGAUAAAUUCAAAGAGGAAAUUCUCUCUGUGUACAAAAAAGAAGAAGAUCGACGAAUUUUCAACUUACGCGAAUUUGGGGUAUUGUCGAAGGGGUAGCUGGCUACCAAAGCACCACCGUGCAAACUACCCGAGAGCACGAACUGAAUCUUGGAGACCCAUUCCUUGACAGCCUCGGUCUCUGGUUGGCUCUUUUUGUUGUUCUGCUUAAAGUAGUCCGGGAAGUUGCGGUUUAGGUCGAAGCCACGUGCGUUAUACCUAUUCAAGUCGUGAAUAUGAGAAUAUACGAUGAGAGAGAAUCAGGAGCUCUUUUCUCCUCGUUCGCGUCUUCAGCGGAAACGGAACCGCUCGAUAUGUGUCGACGAGUUCUGAAUACAAGAUAGACUAAAAAACUAUGCAAAUAUCUAACCUGCCUUGACCACCAUCGCAGCGUCCUUCUUUAGAAACUUCAAAGCCAUCAGGAUUCAUCGACGGAAGAAUAUGAAUCCUUGUGUUAUCCAAUAACCACGUAAUAUAUGCAUCUGAUCCGUACGAUGUCACGAGGGACUAAAAGGGAAAAAAAGGAAAAAGGAUUAUAUCUCGGAACAUAUUUGUGUCAUCUUUGUCGAACAAAAAUAGAUUAUUAAUAUUAUUAUUAAUUUUAAGGAUAUGACGCAAUGAAAAAUAUAGACGUCGUUUUACGUGCAUGUCAUUGAGAGGAACACGUGACGCGGAAUUUCCAACACCUGAUAAUUACGUACAUGAAUGAGAUGCAGCAUUAACUCGCGUCCCACAGCUUCGUUUCCGUGUAUGUUAGCAAUAUACUUUACAUCAGGCUUUCCGAUCAUGUGCUCGUAGGGCGACGACGAGACCACCAUCACCCAUAGAUCACGACCUGUCGCACGAGAAGUUGCUGUCCUCUUUUUCAUCGAAAUCGAUACAGCGUCUACAGAAGUGUUUUUUUUUCAUCUCCGAAAGCAUGUGAUGUAUUCGCACCGCAUUCCUUCACACAUAUGUAAGAGAAUCCGUACCUUUCACCGACUUUCCUAUCGAGUACAGAGCGGUGAGAUUUUGAAAUCGAAGGGACGUCGCGCGAAGAAAGCGGCUCAUCUGCUCGUAAUUGUGAAAAGAAAAAAAACCCGUUUACGUGGCGGCGACCGGCGCCGAUGACGAGGAGGACACGCACUUUUCGUCGUAUGCGAUCACGUUGGCGGAUAGGUCGACGGACGGCAUUUGCGGAAGUCGAGGGGGAUCAAGAAGAAGAAAAAGAAGAAGAAGAAGAAAAAAGGAGAGGAAAGAGAAGAGGAAAAUCGCGAAAGAGGAGGAACGCGCGCCGGCAGUGAGCGAGAAUGAGGUCCGCGCGCGGACACCUCUGACAGUUGACGUCCGAGUACGUAGGAGGAAGGUGUUAGCCGCCUCUUCUCUUCUCGCCUGCGUGAGAGUAUAGCGGCGAGAUACGUGAUACUGCGAACUCUUAUAAAGAGAAGCGAAAUAUGCCGUGCACUCACUAUACCACCACCAGUGUACCGGCAGAAGAGCAGCAAACCACCACCACCACCGCUGCCGCCUCCACCGUCAGCGCUAUCAUCAGCAACCACCACCACCAGCAGCGGCAACACCACCACCACCGUCGACGCCACCACCGCUACUUAAUGAAGCCCACUUCCUCCGUCACCGGUAUCUGCACCGCUGUCUGCUCUCUCUCCGUUGUAGACCAACCACUGGCACAAUGUGUACCAGCUAGCUAGGAGACAGCCCGUUUACCCGUCUCAUCUCUCGGGCACCUACUACCACUAUGUUAUACCACUACUACGUCAAACGGCCGCAACAAUGAGCAACCCGUCGACCGUAUCGCCGCGAAUUGUUAUAUUUCACGCACGCAUUUAGCACGUACACGCAUAUAUAUUGUAUACAUGUAUGUAUAUAUACGUUAACAAGAGCGCGAUGAUAUCUCCGGGGAUCUUUUGCGUAAACGUAACACAGGAAGUUUCGUUUCACCGCGCGAUGCGGACGAGAUAAAGCUUCUGUCGUCGAGGGAAGGGAAACGUCCCGUAAAAAGGGAAACUUUCGACAAUUACAAGCGAGUCAAUAGAAAUGGGAAAAUAAAUAGAUGUCUAAAUUUAGCCGAGCAGCGACCCAUAAAGAUUCUCUAGAUGAAAUUAAUAUUUGUUCUGCGAUUAACAAAUGUAUAUCGCUAGGAUAUUCAAGUAAUUCAUUAAAAAUUCUUUUAUCAUAUUAUAUCACGAGAUUGUAAAAGUCAAUUCUGCCCAAAAAUGGCGCAUUAAUUUUAGACCGACAGAGAGUGGUCUCCACUAAGACUAAUUCCACGAUCUAGCGUCGCUUUACAUAUUAAAGAGGACGAGUACAUAUGUAUCAACUCGCGUGCUUGACUACCGGUUACGGAUCACCACUACUGUUACACCAUUACAACUACAUAUCUACUGACGUUCACCAGCGCUACCGGUGUUAAUUGAGGUGAAGAGGUUUUCGUUCUUCAUGUUUGGACCCCAUCCUCCCCCCUAUGUCAAGGGGGCCGAAUGGGGAGAAGAAGAGGAGGGCGAGAGUUCGCGUCAGCUCCGGGUGCUAUAUAUUUUCGAAUAUAAUGAGCCCGCCCGCGUCCAUCCGACUGAGACACCAAUACAGCGUUGGUAUACAGGUCGAUAGAGCAUUCGUAAGAUCACCGACGCGUCCACCGACACCACCAACACCACCACUAUCAUCGGCCACGUACUUUCGACGAGUUAUUGAGGACGGUGUCCUACUAGCGGUGCCCGACCCCUCUUCUCUUCCUAUUCAUGCUGGCCGAGGCACACGGAUCACGGUUUCGGAUGGAUCGUUGAACCCGCGGGAGGAAGGUGAAACACGUCGAAAAAAAAGUGCUCAGUCAGAAGUGUGUCACCGAGGCGAGCGAGCGUGAUGAGGUGGGGAAUGAAGAUGAGAGAGAGGAGGAAGACGGAAAGGAAGUCCGAGAACUUGGUGCGUUCCCCCAAGGUGGAUUUCGCUCACGGUCGACGAUUUACCUUGAAACGACGAAAAAAAAAAAAAAAAGAAAUCAUCUCCGCUCGUAUAUCGAAGAAGAGAUCUCUUUCGUAACGGAUCACGUAUACACGUAUCACGUAUACGUCGGCGAAACGGGAAUUUGUGUUAAUAAAGUUCAAUGUCGGAAUUUAGAUGUAUAGAAAUGUGGCGACCUAAGUAAGAGCGCUCCCAUGUGUCAUUUAUUUAUUUGGGGGGGGAACUAAAUUUUGAAUUAGCGGGGACAAAUAUAUUCGCGAGGGAAGGGUGAAUUAUAUAGUCUCUUGUACGAGAUGUACGAUAUUAUGGAAACGUGUGAUUAGACUUGAAACGAGAGCUGUCAUUACAAACGUCGCGACUUAAGGCCGUAAUUAACGGCUUUGGAGAAACGUAAAUUCUUGAAACAUAAGUAAGUCACUGGAAAUCGACCGGCAAUUUCCUUCUUCAUAAAAGAAUUAUGAUUCUCGAUAUCAUCUUUCGUGUCUCUCUUUCACAAAAUUAAUUACGCGUUUAAUAUUUAAAAAUAUGAUACAUAUAUUAAUAGUUACAAAUUCCAUGAAAAUUUUAUUUUAUUACGAUAUACGUCACACACUGUAUCCAAAUAUUCUUGCGACAAAAAUAAAUAUUUCUAAGAAAUAA
Molecule: non-coding RNA, 4488 nt
Organism: Nylanderia fulva
Lineage: Eukaryota; Metazoa; Arthropoda; Insecta; Hymenoptera; Formicidae
Source: RefSeq, a predicted model, not a curated record